UUGGGUUAUGGAGACAUGUAUCCCAAAACUUGGUCAGGUAUGUUGGUGGGAGCUCUUUGUGCCCUGGCUGGUGUUCUUACCAUUGCUAUGCCUGUUCCAGUCAUUGUCAACAAC
Molecule: regulatory RNA element, 114 nt
Organism: Ophiophagus hannah (king cobra)
Lineage: Eukaryota; Metazoa; Chordata; Lepidosauria; Squamata; Elapidae
Rfam family: Potassium channel RNA editing signal
About the family: This family represents a group of sequences related to the human potassium channel Kv1.1 hairpin element which directs the efficient modification of an adenosine to inosine by an adenosine deaminase acting on RNA (ADAR). The ADAR modification causes an isoleucine/valine recoding event which lies in the ion-conducting pore of the potassium channel.
Source: Rfam